UUAGGCUUUGAUCCUGGCUCAGGACGAACGCUGGCGGCGUGCCUAAUACAUGCAAGUCGAACGCUUCUUUUUCCACCGGAGCUUGCUCCACCGGAAAAAGAGGAGUGGCGAACGGGUGAGUAACACGUGGGUAACCUGCCCAUCAGAAGGGGAUAACACUUGGAAACAGGUGCUAAUACCGUAUAACAAUCGAAACCGCAUGGUUUUGAUUUGAAAGGCGCUUUCGGGUGUCGCUGAUGGAUGGACCCGCGGUGCAUUAGCUAGUUGGUGAGGUAACGGCUCACCAAGGCGACGAUGCAUAGCCGACCUGAGAGGGUGAUCGGCCACAUUGGGACUGAGACACGGCCCAAACUCCUACGGGAGGCAGCAGUAGGGAAUCUUCGGCAAUGGACGAAAGUCUGACCGAGCAACGCCGCGUGAGUGAAGAAGGUUUUCGGAUCGUAAAACUCUGUUGUUAGAGAAGAACAAGGAUGAGAGUAACUGUUCAUCCCUUGACGGUAUCUAACCAGAAAGCCACGGCUAACUACGUGCCAGCAGCCGCGGUAAUACGUAGGUGGCAAGCGUUGUCCGGAUUUAUUGGGCGUAAAGCGAGCGCAGGCGGUUUCUUAAGUCUGAUGUGAAAGCCCCCGGCUCAACCGGGGAGGGUCAUUGGAAACUGGGAGACUUGAGUGCAGAAGAGGAGAGUGGAAUUCCAUGUGUAGCGGUGAAAUGCGUAGAUAUAUGGAGGAACACCAGUGGCGAAGGCGGCUCUCUGGUCUGUAACUGACGCUGAGGCUCGAAAGCGUGGGGAGCAAACAGGAUUAGAUACCCUGGUAGUCCACGCCGUAAACGAUGAGUGCUAAGUGUUGGAGGGUUUCCGCCCUUCAGUGCUGCAGCUAACGCAUUAAGCACUCCGCCUGGGGAGUACGACCGCAAGGUUGAAACUCAAAGGAAUUGACGGGGGCCCGCACAAGCGGUGGAGCAUGUGGUUUAAUUCGAAGCAACGCGAAGAACCUUACCAGGUCUUGACAUCCUUUGACCACUCUAGAGAUAGAGCUUCCCCUUCGGGGGCAAAGUGACAGGUGGUGCAUGGUUGUCGUCAGCUCGUGUCGUGAGAUGUUGGGUUAAGUCCCGCAACGAGCGCAACCCUUAUUGUUAGUUGCCAUCAUUUAGUUGGGCACUCUAGCAAGACUGCCGGUGACAAACCGGAGGAAGGUGGGGAUGACGUCAAAUCAUCAUGCCCCUUAUGACCUGGGCUACACACGUGCUACAAUGGGAAGUACAACGAGUCGCAAAGUCGCGAGGCUAAGCUAAUCUCUUAAAGCUUCUCUCAGUUCGGAUUGUAGGCUGCAACUCGCCUACAUGAAGCCGGAAUCGCUAGUAAUCGCGGAUCAGCACGCCGCGGUGAAUACGUUCCCGGGCCUUGUACACACCGCCCGUCACACCACGAGAGUUUGUAACACCCGAAGUCGGUGAGGUAACCUUUUGGAGCCAGCCGCCU
This 1480-nucleotide ribosomal RNA is filed under the name Enterococcus sp. REC25. Its description in RNAcentral is "bacterial SSU rRNA". It matches the Rfam family "Bacterial small subunit ribosomal RNA". Lineage: Bacteria; Bacillati; Bacillota; Bacilli; Lactobacillales; Enterococcaceae. The record is from RNAcentral.